This 72-nucleotide transfer RNA is filed under the name Halorhodospira halophila SL1. It matches the Rfam family "tRNA". Rfam says of the family: Transfer RNA (tRNA) molecules are approximately 80 nucleotides in length. Their secondary structure includes four short double-helical elements and three loops (D, anti-codon, and T loops). The record is from Rfam by way of RNAcentral. Lineage: Bacteria; Pseudomonadati; Pseudomonadota; Gammaproteobacteria; Chromatiales; Ectothiorhodospiraceae.
UCCCCGGUAGCUCAGCGGUAGAGCAAGUGACUGUUAAUCACUGGGUCGGCGGUUCGAAUCCGUCCCGGGGAG